Capsicum annuum is the source of this 1399-nucleotide non-coding RNA. NCBI's taxonomy places the organism in Eukaryota, Viridiplantae, Streptophyta, Magnoliopsida, Solanales, Solanaceae. The record is from Rfam.
AAUAGAUGUUCAAGCAAUAUGAUUUCUACCCAAUGCUCGGAAUGUCAAGGUGAAGAAAUUCAACCAAGCACGGGUAAACUGCGGGAGUAAUUAUGUCUCUCAUUGGAAUGACUACAAUCUAAAUCCCUUAAUGACGAUCGAUUGGAGGAGAAUUAUAUUGCCAGCAGUCGUGGUAAUUCAAGAUCCAAUAUCAUAUAUUUAAGUGGUUGAAGUUAAAAAGCCCGUACUUGGACUUUAGGAUGGGCCGGCCAGUCCGCCUAUGAUGUGCACCGGUCAUCUCGUCCCUUCUACCGGCGAUGCGCUCCUUGACUUAAAUGGCUGGGUUGUGCCUCCAACGUUGUUACUUUGAAGAAAUCAUAGUUCUCAAAGAAAGCCUACGCUCUAUUUACAUUAGCAUAAAAUAACACUACAGGAUUUUAGUUCUAUUACGUUUGCCUUCGAGAUCAAAGUAAUGAUUAAUAGGGACACUCGGGGGCAUUCAUAUUUCAUAGUCAGAGGUGAAAUUCUUGGAUUUAUGAAAUAUGAACAACUGCAAAAGCAUUUGCCAAGGAUGUUUUCAUUAAUCGAGAAUGAAAGUUGGGGGCUCGGAGAUGAUCAGAUAUCGUCCUAAUCUCAACCAUAAAUGAUGCCCACCAGGGAUCGAUGGAUGUUGCUUUUAGGACUCCACCGGCACCUUAUGAGAAAUCAAAGUUUUUGGGUUCUGGGGAGAGUGAGGUCACAAGGCUAAAAGUUAAGAGAAUUGACAGAAGGGCACCACCAGGAGUGGAGCCUGGGGCUUAAUUUAACUCAACACGGGGAAACUUAUGAGGUCCAGACAUAGUAAGGAUUUAUAGACUAAGAGCUCUUUAUUGAUUUUGUUGGUGAUGGUUCAUGGACGUUCUUAGUUAGUGGAGUGAUUUGUCCGGUUAAUUCCAUUAACAAAUGAUAUCUCAGCCUGCUAACUAGCCAUGCGAAGUUAUCCCUUCGCGGCCUGCUUCUCAGAGGGACUACGGACUUUUAGGCUAUGGAUGUUUGAGGCAAUAAAUGGUCUGUGAUGCCCUUAGAUGUUUUGGGCUGCACAUGCACUACACGAAUGUAUUCAACAAGUUUAUAGUCUUGGCCGAUAGGCUCGGUUAAUCUUUGAAAUUUCAUUGCGAUGGGGAUAGAUAACUGAAAUUAUUGGUCUUCAACGAGGAAUUCCUAGUAAGUGCGAAUCAUCAGCUCGCAUUAAAUACGUCCCUUCCCUUUGUGUACACCACCCAUUGCUCUUACCGAUUGAAUAAUUUGGUGAAAUAUUUAGAUCAGCACAAUGUUGGCGGUUCGCUUCCCUAACGUCGCGAGAAGUCCAUUGAACCCUGUCAUUUAGAGGAAGGAGAAGUCAUAACAAGGUUUCUAUAGGUAACCAAAAGAAGGAUCAUUG